GAUGAACGCUAGCUACAGGCUUAACACAUGCAAGUCGCGGGGCAGCAUGGGGGUUGCUUGCAAUCCCCGAUGGCGACCGGCGCACGGGUGAGUAACGCGUAUCCAACCUGCCCUUCACCACGGGAUAACCCGGCGAAAGUCGGACUAAUACCGUAUGUUGUCCAUUGACGGCAUCCGAUUUGGACGAAAGGUUUGGCGGUGAAGGAUGGGGAUGCGUCCGAUUAGCUGGACGGCGGGGUGACGGCCCACCGUGGCGACGAUCGGUAGGGGUUCUGAGAGGAAGGCCCCCCACACUGGAACUGCGCCACGGUCCAGACUCCUACGGGAGGCAGCAGUGAGGAAUAUUGGUCACUGGGCGUAAGCCUGAACCAGCCAAGUAGCGUGCAGGAUGACGGCCCUAUGGGUUGUAAACUGCUUUUAUGCGGGGAUAAAGUGGCCCACGUGUGGGUUUUUGCAGGUACCGCAUGAAUAAGGACCGGCUAAUUCCGUG
RNAcentral lists this ribosomal RNA (490 nucleotides) under uncultured bacterium. RNAcentral describes it as "partial 16S ribosomal RNA". It matches the Rfam family "Bacterial small subunit ribosomal RNA", at positions 28 to 507 of the family's 1533-position model. The record is from RNAcentral.